This 64-nucleotide transfer RNA is filed under the name Processina sexmaculata. RNAcentral describes it as "tRNA-Arg". Lineage: Eukaryota; Metazoa; Arthropoda; Insecta; Hemiptera; Cicadellidae. The record is from RNAcentral.
AGACAUAGAAGUAAUAAUUACAUUUAGUUUCGACCUAAUUAUAAGGUUUUUAACCUCAUGUUUA